This 906-nucleotide ribosomal RNA is filed under the name uncultured bacterium. RNAcentral's name for it is "bacterial SSU rRNA". It matches the Rfam family "Bacterial small subunit ribosomal RNA", at positions 52 to 928 of the family's 1533-position model. The record is from RNAcentral.
CACAUGCAGUCGAACGAGAGGAGAAGGAAGCUUGCUUCUUUCAAAUCUAGUGGCAAACGGGUGAGUAACACGUAAACAACCUGCCUUCAGGAUGGGGACAACAGACGGAAACGACUGCUAAUACCGAAUACGUUCCUUAGGUCGCAUGACCCAAGGAAGAAAGGGUGGCCUCUACUUGUAAGCUAUCGCCUGAAGAGGGGUUUGCGUCUGAUUAGGUAGUUGGUGAGGUAACGGCCCACCAAGCCGACGAUCAGUAGCCGGUCUGAGAGGAUGAACGGCCACACUGGAACUGAGACACGGUCCAGACUCCUACGGGAGGCAGCAGUGGGGAAUCUUCCGCAAUGGGCGAAAGCCUGACGGAGCAACGCCGCGUGAGUGAUGACGGCCUUCGGGUUGUAAAGCUCUGUGAUCGGGGACGAACGGUCAGCAGACGAAUACUCUGCUGAAGUGACGGUACCCGAAUAGCAAGCCACGGCUAACUACGUGCCAGCAGCCGCGGUAAUACGUAGGUGGCAAGCGUUGUCCGGAAUUAUUGGGCGUAAAGCGCGCGCAGGCGGCUUCUUAAGUCCAUCUUAAAAGUGCGGGGCUUAACCCCGUGAUGGGAUGGAAACUGAGAGGCUGGAGUAUCGGAGAGGAAAGUGGAAUUCCUAGUGUAGCGGUGAAAUGCGUAGAGAUUAGGAAGAACACCGGUGGCGAAGGCGACUUUCUGGACGACAACUGACGCUGAGGCGCGAAAGCGUGGGGAGCAAACAGGAUUAGAUACCCUGGUAGUCCACGCCGUAACGAUGAAUACUAGGUGUAGGAGGUAUCGACCCCUUCUGUGCCGGAGCUAACACAAUAAGUAUUCCGCCUGGGAAGUACGAUCGCAAGAUUAAAACUCAAAGGAAUUUGACGGGGCCCGCACAA